This 76-nucleotide transfer RNA is filed under the name Clostridium sp. Its description in RNAcentral is "tRNA-Asn". It matches the Rfam family "tRNA". Rfam says of the family: Transfer RNA (tRNA) molecules are approximately 80 nucleotides in length. Their secondary structure includes four short double-helical elements and three loops (D, anti-codon, and T loops). Further hydrogen bonds mediate the characteristic L-shaped molecular structure. tRNAs have two regions of fundamental functional importance: the anti-codon, which is responsible for specific mRNA codon recognition, and the 3' end, to which the tRNAs corresponding amino acid is attached (by aminoacyl-tRNA synthetases). tRNAs cope with the degeneracy of the genetic code in two manners: having more than one tRNA (with a specific anti-codon) for a particular amino acid; and 'wobble' base-pairing, i.e. permitting non-standard base-pairing at the 3rd anti-codon position. The record is from RNAcentral. Lineage: Bacteria; Bacillati; Bacillota; Clostridia; Eubacteriales; Clostridiaceae.
GGGGAUAUAGCUCAGUAGGUAGAGCAAUUGGCUGUUAACCAAUAGGUCAAAGGUUCAAACCCUUUUAUCUCCGCCA